This 272-nucleotide ribosomal RNA is filed under the name Micrococcus luteus. RNAcentral describes it as "partial 23S ribosomal RNA". It matches the Rfam family "Bacterial large subunit ribosomal RNA", at positions 2680 to 2925 of the family's 2925-position model. Lineage: Bacteria; Bacillati; Actinomycetota; Actinomycetes; Micrococcales; Micrococcaceae. The record is from RNAcentral.
AGUACGAGAGGACCGGGACGGACGAACCUCUGGUAUGUCAGUUGUACCGCCAGGUGCAUGGCUGAUUAGCUACGUUCGGGGAUGGAUAACCGCUGAAAAGCAUCUAAGCGGGGAAGCCGGCUUCGAGAUGAGAUUUUCCCUUUGCCCCCUUUUGAGGGGUGUGAGGCCCCCCAGCUAGAACACUGGGGUUUGAUAGGCUGGGAUGUGGGAAAGCGAGGGACUGAAGACUCGUGAAGCUGACCAGUACUAAUAGGCCCAUGACUUUACACACA